Molecule: non-coding RNA, 113 nt
Organism: Acanthosepion pharaonis
Lineage: Eukaryota; Metazoa; Mollusca; Cephalopoda; Sepiida; Sepiidae
Source: the annotation of a GenBank genome assembly
UACGGCCAUAUCACGUUGAAACAUCGGUUCUCGUCUGAUCACCAAUGUUAAGCAACGAUGAACCUGGUCAGUACUCAGAUGUAUGUUCACUCGGGAAUACCAGGUGCUGUAAG